This is a non-coding RNA of Globicephala melas (long-finned pilot whale), 2589 nucleotides long. NCBI's taxonomy places the organism in Eukaryota, Metazoa, Chordata, Mammalia, Artiodactyla, Delphinidae. The record is from RefSeq and is a predicted model, not a curated record.
GAGGGGCUGAUUACGCACACGAAGUUGACUUCGAUUGGGGCGCCCAGGUUCCCGAGCCCCUCUCGGGGUCUUGCAGCGCGGACACCUCGGGAAAGGGACCAGGAGGAAGCCCCUUGGCUUCCACGGUCUCGGGAGCCUGGCUCCGCUGCCGCUGGCCCGCCCGGUGCGGGGCAGCCCGGCGCAGCGCGCCCGGCCCUCUGCUUACGUGACUGGUGGCCACGCCAGAGCCCCGGCACCGGCACUCCGAGAAAACAGGAGAGAAGAAAAGAACGCACCACCGACCACGCUACACAAAUCCUUGUUUUUGCCUUAAGCUACUGCACGAUUUCGCUGCCAUCACACGGUUACUUUAACCCCGAAGGCCUGGGGUGUCGGUCAGCUAAGGUGUUUUUGUGUUUGAGGGUUGUUGUUGUGUUUGGGGGAGGGGGAGUAGGUUGCAAGAUCUGACACGUUGCAAUCGGACCCUUUCUUUCUUUUCUUUCUUUUCUUUCUUUCUUCCUUUCUUUCUUUCUCUCUCUCUCUCCUCUCUCUCUCAUCUCAUUGAUCUUCCUACUUGUUCGGACAGAUUAAACAGCCUGCUUUUCUCUACUCUGUCAGUCUAUAUUCCUCGGCCCCUUCGCCCUUCUCGCAGCUAUUAUUUGUGAGGACCGUGCUGGAAACGCCGCACACGCGUGCCCCCGUUAACGGCGCUGAGCGACUGCCUGGGGAGGAUGGGGGAACCCAGUUGGCAGAGGCAAAAAUGAAACAAACAAAUACAAAAAGGAGGCCAGGCCGGGGUGGGGCUCCCAGCACCACCACCCCCAAGCAUCGCUCUCCACCUGAAUCUGGGGUGGGGGGGAACAGUAGAAAUCCACGAGGAAGGCAUUUGCCUUCCUCGCCCAGCGCGCUCACUCGGGAGCCGUAUCCCGGAAAAUAAAAAAAACCGAACAUAACAGCCUACACCUUCUUCCAUAACUAUUGUUUCCUGCGAGAUCCCAAAGUUUCCUUCUGGCUGCGUCCCCCUCGCCAAGUUUCCCGGGCGCAGGGCGGCGGGUCCGGGGCGAGCUGCUGGCGGUGCUUGGCUUUGCCGGCCUGUUUCUUUCGGGGGGGGGGGAGGCGGUGAGGAAACCACAGGGCACCAGAGGCGCAGGAGGACUGUAUCCGUGGACGCGAUGGCCUGAGCCCAGCCUUGCUGCGAGAGGAGAGGAAAAAGCAAAGUAGACAGGAGGGAGAAGAAGACCCGAGCCAGCCCGAGCCCACGCCGUGGAGGGCUGUUUGGUUGUUGGUGUUAUCGUUGUCGUGUGUGUCUGUGUGUUUUCUUUCUGGAACCGCUAAGCUCUGCCUACAGUUUCCAACUUUCGGCUUCUAAUCCCCACCCCACCCAGGAACGAGCGACAGAAAAACAACACUUGUCUGCCCGAGAAGGCUCCGGAAAAAAAAAAAAAAAGGAAGAAAGGCGACCUCGAAGAGAUGAGCUCUCGGCUCAGUUGUCAGCAAACAACAACACUCCCCCGCUCCUCGGCCCAGCGGUCCUGCCAGCCUCUGGGAGACGGACAGACGGACGCACCGACAGGCCCCCCCCUUCCCCCCGCUCGUCUUUGUUACAUCUUUAGCAGCUUUGUGCGUAGCUGGCGGCCUCGAGCAGAAUCUGCACGUUCUGCAGAAAAGUGUUGAUGUGCUUCUCCAUCGAGUUCUCGCUGGUGUUGAAAAUGUCCGAGAAGGGGCACCUGAGCUUGGCCCCCGCGAGCUCCUCUGGCUGGGCCGGGGGCUCGGGCGCGGUCACGGCCGGGGGCGCGGCGGGGGCCAGCCCCGCACCCUCGCAGCGCGCCUCCUUGCGCGGCCGCCCGCGUUUGCCCAUGGAGGAACCGGGGUCCGCCGAGCUCGUCCUGUUUUGGGGCGGCGCGGCCCGACCAAGCUCCGGGCCCCAGGGGAGAACCGGCUGGCUGGAGCGAAGAAGGCGCCGAGGCGAGGAGGCGACCUGACUUCCCAAGCCUCGCUCCGUGCAGUUGUGUGUCUGAGUACCCAGUGAGAGUCUGCAGGAACCAUGGGUGCUCUCCAGGCCCGGGAAGGACGGUGCGAGUCAGGAGUGCCAUAGAGAAGGAUUCAAGUCCCAGCUCAGCUGCAUACAGACUGCGUGUGUGCCUGGAUCUGCAAGCUUCAGAAAGACCAGUGGGAAUCUUCAAGCUGGGCCACGAAUCUGACCAAAGCCAAAACAAACAAUGGCUUGAAGAAAAUCUCCAAAAAUUGCUGAUUUGCACUAUUCCCACAGUCAGCCACAGCCCCCGCCAUCAUUCCAAUGGAAAACAUCACUGCUGGUGCCAAAUCAAGUCUUCCCCCCCAUCAUAGGGGCAUUGUUUUCUGUUGUUAUGUGAGUUCUUAGCAUCAGACAAUGGCACCACAAGAGACACGUUGGAAGCAGGAGAAACGCCUUUUUGUUUCACAAAGUCUAUGCUGUUGUGCCCCAGAGUGUCACAUACAGUAUAGUUGCAUAUAUUCAUUUUGGUAACGUGUCUGUGGAGCGAUGAAUGUGCUGAAGCUCGAAUGUCCUUCCUUAUUUUUUUCAGAGUCCAUCAAGUGUUAAAUCAUGUUAGCAUCCCUCCUCCCUCACCA